This 546-nucleotide ribosomal RNA is filed under the name uncultured bacterium. RNAcentral describes it as "bacterial SSU rRNA". It matches the Rfam family "Bacterial small subunit ribosomal RNA", at positions 356 to 896 of the family's 1533-position model. The record is from RNAcentral.
GGGGAAUAUUGCGCAAUGGGGGCAACCCUGACGCAGCCAUGCCGCGUGAAUGAAGAAGGCCUUCGGGUUGUAAAGUUCUUUCGGUAGCGAGGAAGGCAUUUAGUUUAAUAGACUAGGUGAUUGACGUUAACUACAGAAGAAGCACCGGCUAACUCCGUGCCAGCAGCCGCGGUAAUACGGAGGGUGCGAGCGUUAAUCGGAAUAACUGGGCGUAAAGGGCACGCAGGCGGUGACUUAAGUGAGGUGUGAAAGCCCCGGGCUUAACCUGGGAAUUGCAUUUCAUACUGGGUCGCUAGAGUACUUUAGGGAGGGGUAGAAUUCCACGUGUAGCGGUGAAAUGCGUAGAGAUGUGGAGGAAUACCGAAGGCGAAGGCAGCCCCUUGGGAAUGUACUGACGCUCAUGUGCGAAAGCGUGGGGAGCAAACAGGAUUAGAUACCCUGGUAGUCCACGCUGUAAACGACGUCGAUUUGGGGGUUGAGCUUUAAGCUUGGCGCCCGUAGCUAACGUGAUAAAUCGACCGCCUGGGGAGUACGGCCGCAAGGUUA